UUAUUCUUUUCUUAACCACUUAUCCUUUCAUUCAAAUUUCCACUAACACUUUCUCUCUCUUCGUGGUCCCCACCUCAAUCAGUUUGACUUUUCCUCUCUUCCCUCAUUCACUCUCCAACCGUUUCCACUCUCUCUCUUUACUCAUCCAAUUUAUUUUUCCUUUCCCAAUCUCUCUCUCCAAGGGCCCCACAUCCACCCAUUCAGACUUUUCUCUUCCUCACUCCACACUCUCCCUUCUCACUCACGAUUCUCUCCCUCUUUCUCCCACAAAAGAAAAAUAUCUCUCUUUCUUUUAUUAUUCUGAUUUCUUUCUCUCAAAAACAAAAGCUGCAGAACACUUUCUCUGAAGCUUGUCUGCAACUUCUCUUCUUCCUCCUCACCAUUUUCUUCUUCCCAACAUGUCUGGAACAACAACACCACCACGAGCCAAAACCGCGAGCACCACCACCUCUAUGCCUCCUUCACGCAGCAACCACCACUGUCCAUGUUCUGUUUUUCCUCUCCAUGAGAGCCACCACCAAAACCCUAGCCGCCACCUUUUUCCUCCGAUCUCCGGCGAACCAUUAAGUUUUUGGAGAAACCAACGCCAGCACUGAACUCCUCUCAUCAACCGCAACAAAACCCCUUCAUCGAUUCGAUGAUCGGCCACCGUGACUCCGGCGACCGCCGCGCCGCCGUCUUCUCCGGCGAGCUUUGUUCUGAGAAAGGAGGCCAAUUUCUUGAAGCUCUCAACCUCCUCUUCCUGAAUCCAAGGCUCAAUCAUCAUUAAUAGUUUCAAUGGCCACUGGAGGAAGGGGAGAGCACGACUAGACCAGACCAGAGGAAGAAGUGAAGCUCAGUCCCAGGACCAUGAGACUUGAGGGUACGAAUGACGGGAGCGCAUGACGACGAAGCUAAAGAAUAAAAGGGAGCGAACCGACACGGGAAAGCAAAGAUGUGUUGGGAUUGAAAUUGCAGUUAGUAUGAGAAUUGGCUAAGAUGUCUUUGGCGGGCUGGUUCACGACGGUUCACCCUUCGGGGGGAACUAGGGUUGAAAUGCUGGAACAAGAGCGCAUCGCGGUCGCGAGAGGAGGACGGAUGGUGUACAUAGACUAGGUCGUUCUGGAUUCAGAUUCGGACGACGAUCAUGCUAGCAUGUAGGUUUUAGUGCUGGUGUGAGCUCCUCGAGAUGAGAUUAAUGUAGGAGUAGAGUCUUAGCUCUGAACAUCAUUUGUUUUUCUUUGGGAACAGAGUAGCUUCCCGCCGAUAGCUUUUUGUGUGGUUUCCUUACGGGAAUCACAGAGAGUUGGUUGGACUUAGGAGGUCUUGUUUCAGGCCGAUGGACCAGCUUAUUCUCAAUUUUUGAAGGUGUGAGUUGCGGAUACUCAACCUUUCCUUAUGGUUUGUACAUAUUGCCUACGGGCGCUACUCUUCUACUACCGUCACUGGAGGUUUACUCGUGACGAGGUUGCUACUUACAGCGGGGGCUGUUUAUAUAUUGUAUAUUAGUUCUAUUGCCUUUCGCAUUUGGGUUUUAUUUAAUUCAGUCUUGUCUUAGUUAUUAUCAAAAAAAAUAUUCACGUUUUUCCGCAUUAAGUUUACAUUUUGGUUACUAAAGUGACGCCACCGAAAUCGGGGUGUUACAAUGUGGUAUCAGAGCUUGUCGAGUCUUUCGGGAGUCUUUGGGGAAUAGGUCUUCUGUGCUAGGUUGUGUGACUCUACAAAGAGUGAAAAUUGAUUGUCUGCCAAGCGAUUUUUCGCUUAGAAUUGAUUGAAGUUAUUGCUUAAUCAUAUUGUAUAGUUAUGGAAAAGCUAUCUUAUGAUUAGUACUAACUGUUUGUUUAACUAAAAAGAACGAUGUUAACCUUCUAACCAUUCUUCCCCAUUCUAGUAUAAUACGCUCCAUUACUCUCGUAGCGCGUGCAACACACCUAACUUAGUUAUACUGUUUGAGCUUUGACCUUACAGUUAUUGCACCUAUUAAGGCUUUAUUUGCCCGUUGCUCGUGUUUAAACUAUAGAAGUACACGAGGUUUAGAAUGUAACGCUAAGCCUAGAAAGUAGUCUUGCACCGACUGCUUGUUUUUCACUUGGGGGUUACUGCUUCCACCAAGACUUUAAUCGUCAUUGUUAUUUUCUUGCAGUGCCAUGUGGUAUUUUAGACAGAGAUUGCUAUGCUUAUGAUAGUAAUAGGGAUGAGUAUAAGACACAUUCUUCCGACUAUUGUUUGUAUUUAACUAUAGAAGUUAUAUAGGGUUUAGAGAAUUUUUCUAAGUCUUGAAGUUUGUUUUAGACAGGUACGAGUUGGUAAGAAAGGUAGAAGCUAAGAAUGAAUCCUAAUAGAAUGUUGUAUGAGUUUCAGGAGUUAAGGUGUGUCAUUUUCAAGAUAGAAAUGUUAGAGAUUGAAUAGAUUAAGAGAUGAUCUCAAGUUAGAUAUGACUACUUGAUGAGAUAGACUCAUUGGCCUUACAAGUGAGUUUUUCUAAAUUUUCAUCGCCAAGAUAUUGAGCCUGAUCAACUUAAUAUUGAGGGUGUGAUAUUCGGAAUCACAGCUGGCAUGGAUUAUGAUAGGAAGAUUGAUUAUAUUUGAUCAAUGAUUAGUCGAGUUUGGUAGGUAGGUUUAUGUUAAGCACUUGAUUGUAAAUGAUUAAGAUUUAAAUUUUGGAAGUUGAUGAUUGUCGUAUAGACAUUAAUUGGUUAAUUCGCGUGAUUACUCCAAGUAGAGGUAGACUAAGUCAAGAGAUUUAAAUGUUGGAGAGUCUUAAGUAUUCUUUCGGAAGUUAUGAAGCCAUAGGUUAUGUGAUUUCGUGCUAAUUGCACUAAGAGACUAGACUUGAUGGAUUACCGCCUAGUUAGACUCAAGAGGUAUAAGUGUUGAUCAAGCGAAGAUUUUGGAUUUUGGGGAAACAUGUUAAGUUGGCAAUGGAGAGUUACUAAGUUGAAUUGGAAUCUUAGGGAUAAGAUUAACAUGGUAAGUUGAGAAUCACGUACAAGUAAGAGAUCUUAUGGUUAUAGCUGUGACAAUAGGAGUUGAAUCUUAGAAGAUUAAAGAUCUGAAGAUGAGUUUCGGGUUAAGUCCCUUGAGGUUGCUGGCAUAUUGAGCCAUGUGAUGAGAUUUGAAUGAUGUUAGCAUAAUAAGUUAUGAUUGUGAAUAUCAGAAUCAAGUUGUGAACGUGAGAGCAUGACGACACUUGUCAGGUCGUUCGUGUAAGCUAUCGAGUUCGGAUUUGGAUCUCGGUGCCUAUAGCACUAGCUUAAGCGAGGUAUCUAGGUUUAUUUGAACAUGAUUUCUAAGUAUCUAAGCGUUGUUAUUGUCUUUUAGGUCACCUUUGAGGUUAUUUUGUUGUAAUGUUUCUUAGGUUUUGGGAUUCGUGCUAACGCCGCUAGUAAGUUGGAUGAAAUUAGGAGGGAAUGAUAUUCCCGAGUUUUCUCUUACUUCAAGUUUCGAGGACGAAACUUUCUUUUUGGAGGGUGGUAUUGUAAGAUCCAUAAUUAGAUAGACUAUUUAUUUAUUUAACUCCUUAAUUCACGGCAACGCGUAUUAUUUAUUAAUUAAUUAUGAUUGAAAUAUUAUACGCGUCACGACGACGAGAAAUACCUUAAGGAAUAUUUUCCUUAUAGUUAUUUAAUCGCGCAUUUAUAUUGUAGUAUUUUUAUAAUAUUUUCUUGACUCGAAUCUAAUCGCGAUUUGAGGAAAUUUAUUAAGAUAAUUAAUUUCAAUAUUUCAAUCUUAUAGAGGUUUAUUUAAAUACAAAAAUAAAAUUAGAAUUAUUUUCGUGUGUUAUUUCAUUUUAAUCUUAGGAAUUUAUAAUAUUUAAUUAUCUCUUUCUCUUAUAGAAAUGACAUGCUCUAACAUGUCACAUUUUUAUAAUUACCUAUGUUAGCCUAUCACCAAAGAAUAUUCUUUAUUCUUUUCUUAACCACUUAUCCUUUCAUUCAAAUUUCCACUAACACUUUCUCUCUCUUCGUGGUCCCCACCUCAAUCAGUUUGACUUUUCCUCUCUUCCCUCAUUCACUCUCCAACCGUUUCCACUCUCUCUCUUUACUCAUCCAAUUUAUUUUUCCUUUCCCAAUCUCUCUCUCCAAGGGCCCCACAUCCACCCAUUCAGACUUUUCUCUUCCUCACUCCACACUCUCCCUUCUCACUCACGAUUCUCUCCCUCUUUCUCCCACAAAAGAAAAAUAUCUCUCUUUCUUUUAUUAUUCUGAUUUCUUUCUCUCAAAAACAAAAGCUGCAGAACACUUUCUCUGAAGCUUGUCUGCAACUUCUCUUCUUCCUCCUCACCAUUUUCUUCUUCCCAACAUGUCUGGAACAACAACACCACCACGAGCCAAAACCGCGAGCACCACCACCUCUAUGCCUCCUUCACGCAGCAACCACCACUGUCCAUGUUCUGUUUUUCCUCUCCAUGAGAGCCACCACCAAAACCCUAGCCGCCACCUUUUUCCUCCGAUCUCCGGCGAACCAUUAAGUUUUUGGAGAAACCAACGCCAGCACUGAACUCCUCUCAUCAACCGCAACAAAACCCCUUCAUCGAUUCGAUGAUCGGCCACCGUGACUCCGGCGACCGCCGCGCCGCCGUCUUCUCCGGCGAGCUUUGCUCUGAGAAAGGAGGCCAAUUUCUUGAAGCUCUCAACCUCCUCUUCCUGAAUCCAAGGCUCAACCAUCAUUAAUAGUUUCAAUGGCCACUGGAGGAAGGGGAGAGCACGACUAGACCAGACCAGAGGAAGAAGUGAAGCUCAGUCCCAGGACCAUGAGACUUGAGGUAGAAGGAGAAAGAUUUGAACACUGUGUUUAGAAAUUAUAUGUUAAUAGAAAAAAAAAAUAUAGUGGUAGUAUUUUGGGCUUAUCCUUGUAUUAAUUAGUUAUGAUGGAAAAUGAUAUUGUUGGUGUCUAUAUUGGUAUUGUUAUUCUAAAAAUAAAACCAUAUGUUAAAGUUGAAGUAAAUGUUUUGAAGGUUACACUUAGGUUAUUUUGGCUGAUGAGAUCAAUGGAGUUAUAUUGAAAAUAAAUAAUUAAAAAUUUCAAUC
Molecule: long non-coding RNA, 5009 nt
Organism: Lotus japonicus
Lineage: Eukaryota; Viridiplantae; Streptophyta; Magnoliopsida; Fabales; Fabaceae
Exons: 5
Source: RefSeq, a predicted model, not a curated record